UGGGGAAUAUUGGACAAUGGGCGAAAGCCUGAUCCAGCCAUGCCGCGUGUGUGAAGAAGGUCGUCGGAUUGUAAAGCACUUUAAGUUGGGAGGAAGGGCAGUAAGCGAAUACCUUGCUGUUUUGACGUUACCGACAGAAUAAGCACCGGCUAACUCUGUGCCAGCAGCCGCGGUAAUACAGAGGGUGCAAGAGUUAAUCGGAAUUACUGGGCGUAAAGCGCGCGUAGGUGGUUCGUUAAGUUGAAUGUGAAAGCCCCGGGCUCAACCUGAGAACUGCAUCCACAACUGGCGAGCUAGUGUAGGGCAGAGGGUGGUGGAAUUUCCUGUGUAGCGGUGAAAUGCGUAGAUUUAAGAAGGAACACCAGUAGCGAAGGCGACCACCUGCGCUCAUACUGACACUGAGGUGCGAAAGCGUGGGGAGCAAACAGG
RNAcentral lists this ribosomal RNA (429 nucleotides) under Pseudomonadota bacterium. RNAcentral's name for it is "Proteobacteria bacterium partial 16S ribosomal RNA". It matches the Rfam family "Bacterial small subunit ribosomal RNA", at positions 355 to 776 of the family's 1533-position model. The record is from RNAcentral. Lineage: Bacteria; Pseudomonadati; Pseudomonadota.